UCGUCGGCAGCGUCAGAUGUGUAUAAGAGACAGGAUCAAGCGUUUUCGCGCCGAAAAUGACCGGAACUAAGUUUUUUGCCGAAGCUGUGGCUACAUCACAUAGAUGAUGUAGGGUAGAGGAGCGUUCCGCCCAGGGGGAAGCCAAGCGCGUAAGCCGCGGUGGACAGGGCGGAAGUGAGAAUGUCAGCUUGAGUAACGCAAACAUUGGUGAGAAUCCAGUGCCCCGAAAACUCAAGGGUUCCUGCGCAAGGCUCGUCCGCGCAGGGUCAGUCAGGACCUAAGGUGAGGCCGAAAGGCGUAAUUGAUGGCAAGAAGGUUUAUAUUCCUUCACUAAUCUAGGCUUAGUCCUGAGGGACGAACAAAUAACACUCGGCACAACGGCCACACUUGGCAGUAUGGAUAAACCCGUUGCUGUUUGAUGCUAUUUAUUCCAAGAAAAGCUCAUUCGACUUUGAGUCUAGAUUACCUGUACCGUAAACCGACACAGGUGAGUGGGUUGAAUAAACUAAGGGGAGCGAGAUAACUCUCUCUAAGGAACUCGGCAAAUUGGCUCUGUACCUUCGGAAGAAAGAGUGCCCUGUAAAGGGCCGCAGUGAAGAGAUCCAGGCGACUGUUUACCAAAAACACAGGUCUCCGCAAAGUCGUAAGACGACGUAUGGGGGCUGACACCUGCCCAGUGCCAGAAGGUUAAAGAAGUUGGUCAAUCUUUGAUGAAGCUAACAACUGAAGCCCUGGUGAACGGCGGCAGUAACUAUAACUGUCCUAAGGUAGCGAAAUUCCUUGUCGGGUAAGUUCCGACCCGCACGAAAGGUGUAACGAUCUGCGUACUGUCUCGGAGAGAGACUCGGCGAAAUAGACAUGUCUGUGAAGAUGCGGACUACCUGCACCUGGACAGAAAGACCCUAUGAAGCUUUACUGUAGCUUGAGAUUGAUUUCAAAUUCUAUUUGCGUAGGAUAGGUGGGAGAUAGUGAAGAUAUUUUUCUGGAAAUAUUCGAAUCAUCCUUGAAAUACCACCCUAAUAUAAUGAGAAAUCUAACUUUUUACCAUUAUCUGGUUGAAGAACAGUUUCAGGUGGUCAGUUUGACUGGGGCGGUCGCCUCCUAAAAGGUAACGGAGGCGUGCAAAGGUUUCCUCAGACUGGUCGGAAAUCAGUCGUAGAGUGUAAAGG
RNAcentral lists this ribosomal RNA (1169 nucleotides) under seawater metagenome. RNAcentral describes it as "bacterial LSU rRNA". It matches the Rfam family "Bacterial large subunit ribosomal RNA", at positions 1110 to 2357 of the family's 2925-position model. The record is from RNAcentral.